Oncorhynchus nerka (sockeye salmon) is the source of this 995-nucleotide long non-coding RNA. RefSeq lists it as uncharacterized. The record is from RefSeq and is a predicted model, not a curated record. NCBI's taxonomy places the organism in Eukaryota, Metazoa, Chordata, Actinopteri, Salmoniformes, Salmonidae. The transcript has 2 exons.
UAAGGUGACAUACCAUUCCCACUGUAGGGUGACAUAACCAUUCCCACUGUAAAGUAACAUAACCAUUCCCACUGUAAGGUGACAUACCAUUCCCACUGUAAGGUGACAUACCAUUCCCACUGUAGAGUGACAUAACCAUUCCCACUGUAAGGUGACAUAACCAUUCCCACAGUAGAGUGACAUAACCAUUCCCACAGUAGAGUGACAUAACCAUUCCCAUAGUAGGGUGACAUAACCAUUCCCACUGGAAGGUGACAUAACCAUUCCCACUGGAAGGUGACAUAACCAUUCCCACAGUAGAGUGACAUAACCAUUCCCAUAGUAGAGUGACAUAACCAUUCCCACUGGAAGGUGACAUAACCAGUCCCAUAGUAGAGUGACAUAACCAUUCCCACUGUGGAGUGACAUAACCAUUCCCAUAGUAGAGUGACAUAACCAUUGGAAAUGCACUAUAGAUGUUCAUACACAAUUUAUAGAGUAUGACACAUAGUUUGUAGAUAAUUUGUGAAUUAAUUAUGUGGUGCUUAUGAAGCCUUUAUGUGGUGCUUAUGAAGCCUUUAUGUGGUGCUUAUGAAGUCUUUAUAUGGUGCUUAAAGCCUUUAUGUGGUGCUUAUGAAACCUUUAUGUAUGCUAUAUAUGCCUUUAUAAAUUAUACUUUGUUUAAAGUGGGACCGUUAAUCCUAAUCCUGUCUAAUAGAGGUCUAGGAUAAUGUUGAGCCUGUGUUUAAUCCUAACCCUGUCUAAUAGAGGUCUAGGAUAUUGUUGAGCCUGUGUUUUAAUUCUAACCCUGUCUAAUAGAGGUCUAGGAUAUUGUUGAGCCUGUGUUUUAAUCCUAACCAUGUCUAAUAGAGGUCUAGGAUAUUGUUGAGCCUGUGUUUUAAUCCUAACCAUGUCUAUUAGAGGUCUAGGAUAUUGUUGAGCCUGUGUGAGUCUGUUUAUCAAAGAAUGUGAGGUGUUUUUCUCAUAACAAAGAACUGUGCUGGUUUCUCUUCUCA